UACGUAGGUGGCGAGCGUUGUCCGGAUUUACUGGGCGUAAAGAGCGCGCAGGCGGCUGGUCAAGUCCGAUGUGAAAGCUCCCGGCUUAACUGGGAAAUUGCAUCGGAAACUGAUCGGCUGGAAGGUGGGAGAGGGUAGCGGAAUUCCUGGUGUAGUGGUGAAAUGCGUAGAUAUCGGGAGGAACACCAGUGGCGAAAGCGGCUACCUGGCCCAUUCUUGACGCUGAGGCGCGAAAGCUAGGGGAGCAAACGGG
RNAcentral lists this ribosomal RNA (253 nucleotides) under uncultured bacterium. RNAcentral describes it as "partial 16S ribosomal RNA". It matches the Rfam family "Bacterial small subunit ribosomal RNA", at positions 524 to 776 of the family's 1533-position model. The record is from RNAcentral.